RNAcentral lists this ribosomal RNA (231 nucleotides) under uncultured bacterium. RNAcentral describes it as "partial 16S ribosomal RNA". It matches the Rfam family "Bacterial small subunit ribosomal RNA", at positions 118 to 350 of the family's 1533-position model. The record is from RNAcentral.
UGGGUGAUCUGCCCUGCACUUCGGGAUAAGCCUGGGAAACUGGGUCUAAUACCGGAUAUGACCUUGGGAUGCAUGUCCUUUGGUGGAAAGCUUUUGCGGUGUGGGAUGGGCCCGCGGCCUAUCAGCUUGUUGGUGGGGUUAAGGCCUACCAAGGCGACGACGGGUAGCCGGCCUGAGAGGGUGACCGGCCACACUGGGACUGAGACACGGCCCAGACUCCUACGGGAGGCA